This 203-nucleotide ribosomal RNA is filed under the name uncultured bacterium. RNAcentral describes it as "partial 16S ribosomal RNA". It matches the Rfam family "Bacterial small subunit ribosomal RNA", at positions 568 to 774 of the family's 1533-position model. The record is from RNAcentral.
UGCGCAGGCGGUUGAGUAAGACAGAUGUGAAAUCCCCGAGCUUAACUCGGGAAUGGCAUAUGUGACUGCUCGACUAGAGUGUGUCAGAGGGAGGUGGAAUUCCACGUGUAGCAGUGAAAUGCGUAGAUAUGUGGAAGAACACCGAUGGCGAAGGCAGCCUCCUGGGACAUAACUGAGCUCAGGCACGAAGCUGGGAGCAAACA